Molecule: long non-coding RNA, 386 nt
Organism: Hypomesus transpacificus
Lineage: Eukaryota; Metazoa; Chordata; Actinopteri; Osmeriformes; Osmeridae
Exons: 3
Source: RefSeq, a predicted model, not a curated record
UUCAUUAUGGAUUUUCUUUGUAACACUUUGUAAAAUUCAGUCUCACCAUCUGAGGACAUCAGCUCAUCUAUCAGGUCAGCAACUCCUGAGAGGGAAGAGGAAAUUUCACAGGUCCCAGGGUGGAGCUUCAGCAAGCUGCCCACGUCCAGCAGGGACUGCAGCUCCUGGCCCGACACGUUCACCUGCUGCUGGGGGUCCAGAGCCGAGCCCAACACUGGCUGCAUGCUCAGCACUGGUUCAGUCUGGGCGUGGCACUCUGCAAGAAUACAACACAGCCCGUCUAGUAAACACAUAAAAGGCGUGAACUGAGUUUUCUGUCCAUAAGAUGGCCUAAACUGCUGAAGUGAAGCGAAUAUACCACAAGAAAAAUGGAAAUCGGAACCCCU